GGCUACACAUAUAUGAUAUUAACUUAUGAGUGAUACCAUCGACUAAACGUCUAAACCACUCAUCGAUUUUUCAAAUGGGCACAUCAAUCUUGGUUUAGACCAAUAGGACAAUUCCUGUACAAGUAGGAACCACUAGAUAAAGAGAAUAGGUUGGGAAAUAAAACCUUUUUUUUUUUUCUCUCGCCUCUCUCUUCCCUUUCACGCCCGCCGCCAAGUCUUUUCUAGAUCUGUUCUCUUCUCUGGCGCCGGUGGCUUCCUAAGCACCGUUAGUUUCUUCUUCUUCUCCUCUAGAUCUGGUUCCCAUCAGUGUUUGUGGUUGCAGCAGAGUAAGGGUUUCGUUGGUGGCUCCUCUCACGAUGGUGGCGCAGGUUCAACGGCGUCGUUGGUCUUUGCGGUGGAGGAUGGAAGUCUUCUUCUCGCAUGGUCGGUUUCUUCUCCUUGUUCGCCUCGUACUCCUCGGCGAAUUCUCUCUCUUGUUGACUGCAUUUUUCCUUCCGGCAGUUCCCUCAGCUCUCUUCUGUGAGUUCUUCUGGUCGGUGGCGUUUCUCUUGCUUUCCUCGGUGGUGGUGUGGUGGCAAGCCUCACUUUUCCCCGAUUAAAGACCCUCCAAAGUCUCCUAGUGUUGUCUCUGUUUCCAAUCUCCGCAGAUCCAAGGGCCACUACCGCGGAGAACACACUUUUGGCCACAGCUAGGAGCUAGGAGUCUCUGGCUGCGGCCAAACCCUAAUUCACCACGGUUGGAAGCCUCACGACCAGGGCCAACUAAAAGGCAAGCCCACGACCCUGUUUCAAGCCCAAUUCGUUUUCACUUCAAAGAAAAUCCUAAGGACGACUGGACAGAGUUGAAGACCUAUAAAUAUGUAUCAUAGCAGACCUAUAUUCGUGUGCCUCAUAAGAAUUCCUUUUGGGAGCGUUUUUAGUUUAGGGAGAUAUAAAUUUUUUUUGAACCCUCUUUAUGUUCUACCUUUACUUUAUGCAAUCUUUAAACUCAGUUUUUACUUUUAUGGCUUUCUAUUUGGUUUCUACUUUCUUCAUAUUAGAUUAGCUUGUUUAAAGGAUUUGAAGAGAACUUUUCCCGAGCCUAGAUCUCGAAAUCGAGAUGCGUCUUCUCCUUUCCAGGGCUAGAGUGGAAACCUACUGGUCAGGGUCGCGAAAAACAAUUGGUUAUGACCACGAGAGUGGUGUAGUCAUACCAUCGUGGUUCGAGUUCUAAGAAUUUACUAGGAUCAAUUUUAAGAGCUUUGUUUUGCGCGAUUUGAAUCGAUCAUAUCCCGUAGACAUCCUUUAUUUCAACAUCGACUUAUUCACUUCUAGUUUAGUUUUAUUUUUCUUCUUAACAUACAUAUAUAUAUAAAUCGUGACAACCUAUCCAAAACCCCGUUUUUCAUCUUAGACUUCGUUUACUAAUUAUGGUUCUGCAGGUAAAGCUUGAAUUCUUUGUGGAUCAAUACCCUAAGUACUACAAUGCACAAAUGUGCACUUGCAGAUAACUAGGGUUAUAAAUUUAAAACAUGAAGCCACAAAGUAAACCCUAGCCCGCAUCAAGUUUUUGGCGCCGUUGCCAGGGAAUCCAAUCGUCUUCAUCUGCACUAUUUCAGAGAUUAGUAAAUCGACUCUAAGACAACUAUUUCUUACUAAUUUUCGGUUUUGUUUUUCUUAGUUUUAGGUCUUUGAAAAAAAUGGUGUCCGACCCGCAAUCGUGCUUGGCCGACCCGCGGUCGUGCCGCGAUCAUGCCUGCUCGACCCAUGGUUGUACCUGCUCGACCUGCGGUCGUACCAUCUCGACCUAUAAUGAAUUUUCUUGUACCAGAUCGAUGGCAUGACGACUUCCAUCCAUUCCCCUUCACACCUUCAACCGUCCACCACCCUUUACCAUCACCACACCACCAUACGUCCAGGUAAGUUUUCUUUUUCUUUAUCUUUUCAAUUCAUUGCAUAUUUUUUUUCUCAUCCUUACUCUGAUUUAUCUCACAUCUCGGCAAAGGAGGAUUUCAUCCCUCUCUAACCACCUUUCUUUUAUGAGUCUUUGAAUUCUACAAUUUUCUCUUAAAAAAAAAAAUCAAAUUUUCAAAGUGUUUUCAAAGUAUAAAUACGUUUUGAGGGAAUGAUGACAAAAAUAUAUGAUGAUUACCAACCUGUAUGCCUUUACACUAUGCAUGACAGCUCUUUUGUGGUUAGUACUAAACUAGGCGGUUGCUAGGAUACUUGCAAUACGAACUCCCAACAGAGGACUUCUAUUCAUGGAGAUUCUUUCUGACAGGAUCUACUAGCUCAUUUUAUUUGGAAUUAAUAUUGAUAUCUAAUUUUCUCAUCAUUGAUUUUAGACAGGCAUCAUGUUAUACAUCUAGGACAUAUUUUUUCCUCAUUUUUACCACUCUUUGUUGUCCUAGAUGGCCAAUUCAUCUUCAGCUGGUACCAAACCCUUAACCCCAAACCUUUAUUUUUGAACCUCGUGUAUCCUCUCUUUAGUUUAUAUCAGCAGAUAUGUGCAAAAACGCCGGAGAGGGAAGAACGACACAGUUUUCAGUCACUCAAGAGAAUGACUGAAUGGAAUUAGGAAGGAGCAAUCUUUAGCCGCCUCAGAAAGCUUAUUUUUAAUGGUAAUUUUCGUGUGUCUCUAAGACUCUCUAUCAAAAAUCGUUUCCCCUUUCUAAAAAAAAUGGAAAAAAAAAGAGAAAGAGAAAGAAAGAUAAUAGAAAAGAAAGGAAACAAAAGUCUAAAGAGUCUUAGAUUGUCAAAAUUAUUUGGAGCAAAGGCAACUAUAUUCAUCUAUGGAGUUAUGGUUUUAUAAGGAGAACCUAAACAAAGAUCUAAGUCUGGGAGAAUUAUAAGGAGAACCUGAAGAAGAAGAUCAGAGAUCUUAUGGCAAGAAAAAGAUGACUGGAAACUGUGGACAUCAAUAGCUCCAUAUUUUCUUGUUGUUUUGCAUAAUAUCAUGCUUUUUCAGAGAUUAAGGUAACCCUAAACACUUUAAACCUCACCUCUAAAAAGCUCUCUGAAUACAUAUCCUUGAUUUUUCCUUGUUUAUUUUUCUUUUGAUGAGAACCACUGAAAAUUUUCAUGAAUAUUAAGAGCUAGUUGACUGAAAGUUAGGUCUAAGUGUGUAGACUUUCGCAUGACGGAUCAACGGACUAGUUAUGCUUGUAUUUUGGUGAGAAGUUUCUAGGCUACACCCAAUAGAUGCAUUAUGAUCGAUUAUAGUCUAGGAGUAUGGUUUCUGAUGAUUUUUGAGUUCCCUAUGAUUUCUGUUAAAGGCCCUUUCUAGGCUUGGAUCUUGCUUUGUUUGAGGACAAACAAAAGUUUAAGUCUAGGAGAGUUGAUAACAUCGUAUUUUGACCACUUUUAUGGAUCGCUUUUAAAUGCUUUUCAAAUGUUUUUUGUUUAUUUUAAGUGUUUUUAUUAUGUUUUUCUAGUAUUUGUAGUUCCAAGACUAUUUUCAGGUAAUUAAGGCAAAAAGAGUGCAUUAUGUAGCAAAAGAUGAUUUUGGAUAAACUCAGGCUGUCAGAAGUUUCACAUCUGAUGAAGAUCUUUUCACCGUCCGAUCAUCUCCAAAAUUAGAUUUCAGAUAAAUGAGACAACUAGCUUUCCGAUGCAAUUGGUUUGGAGACAAUCCAAUGGUUAGAUCUCCAGAUAUCCUUGAUGCACUGAAGAUAUGUUCUGUAGUCUCGCAAAGGAGGCAAGCGCAGAAUGAAGAUUCAACCUUAUAAGCCAAUCUCCGCGUGUCGAGGGGCCACGACCGUGGAGAAAACACUCUUGGCCACGGUUAGGACUCUCAGGCCGAGGCCAAACCCUAAUUCACCAUGGUUGGAAGCCUCACGACCAGGGCCGACUAAAAGGCAAGCCCACGAUCCCUUUUCAAGCCCAAUUCGUCUCCUCUUCGAAGAAAGCCCUAAGGACGAGUGGACAGGAUUGAAGACCUAUAAAUAUGUAUCAUAGCAGACCUAUUUUCGUGUGCCUUCAUAAGAAUCCCUUUUUGGAGCCACCAAAUUUAGUUUUUCUAGGGUUUUUAUGUUCUUAUGUUCUUAGUUCUUAGUUUAGGGAGAUAGAGAUUUCUCUUGAACCUCUUUAUGUUCUACCUUUAAUUUAUGCAAUAUUUAAGCUCAUUUUUUAUUUUAUGUCUUUCAGUUUCGUUUUUAC
RNAcentral lists this long non-coding RNA (4137 nucleotides) under Eutrema salsugineum. Its description in RNAcentral is "long non-coding RNA (ESAL_LNC001499)". The record is from RNAcentral. Lineage: Eukaryota; Viridiplantae; Streptophyta; Magnoliopsida; Brassicales; Brassicaceae.